Triticum aestivum (bread wheat) is the source of this 145-nucleotide non-coding RNA. The record is from Rfam. NCBI's taxonomy places the organism in Eukaryota, Viridiplantae, Streptophyta, Magnoliopsida, Poales, Poaceae.
UAUAUAUUUCCUCCGUCCGAAAAUACUUGUCAUCAAAAUGGAUAAAAGAAGAUGUAUCUGUCAUCAAAAUGGAUAAAAGAAGAUGUAUCUAGAUGUACUUUUAUCCAUUUUGAUGACAAGUAUUUUCGGACGGAGGGAGUAUUUG